GCCGGGCGCAGUGGCUCACGCCUGUAAUCCUAGCACUUUGGGAGGCCGAGGCGGGUGGAUCACCUGAGGUCGGGAGUUCGGGACCAGCCUGACCAACAUGGAGAAACCCCGUCUCUA
Molecule: unclassified non-coding RNA, 117 nt
Organism: Macaca fascicularis (crab-eating macaque)
Lineage: Eukaryota; Metazoa; Chordata; Mammalia; Primates; Cercopithecidae
Rfam family: Metazoan signal recognition particle RNA
About the family: The signal recognition particle (SRP) is a universally conserved ribonucleoprotein. It is involved in the co-translational targeting of proteins to membranes. The eukaryotic SRP consists of a 300-nucleotide 7S RNA and six proteins: SRPs 72, 68, 54, 19, 14, and 9.
Source: Ensembl